CCUACGGGUGGCAGCAGUGGGGAAUAUUGCUCAAUGGGGGAAACCCUGAAGCAGCAACGCCGCGUGGAGGAUGAAGGUUUUCGGGUUGUAAACUCCUUUUGUUAGAGAAGAUAAUGACGGUAUCUGACGAAUAAGCACCGGCUAACUCCGGGCCAGCAGCCGCGGUAAUACGGAGGGUGCAAGCGUUACACGGAAUCACUGGGCGUAAAGAGCGCGUAGGCGGGAUAGCAAGUCAGAUGUGAAAGCCUAUGGCUUAACCAUAGAAUUGCAUUUGAAACUGUUAGUCUAGAGUAUGGGAGAGGUAGGUGGAAUUCUUGGUGUAGGGGUAAAAUGCGUAGAUAUCAAGAGGAAUACUCAUUGCGAAGGCGACCGGCUAGAACAUAACUGACGCUGAUGCGCGAAAGCGUGGGGAGCAAACAGGAUUAGAUACCCCGGUAGUC
This 440-nucleotide ribosomal RNA is filed under the name uncultured bacterium. Its description in RNAcentral is "partial 16S ribosomal RNA". It matches the Rfam family "Bacterial small subunit ribosomal RNA", at positions 338 to 795 of the family's 1533-position model. The record is from RNAcentral.